RNAcentral lists this ribosomal RNA (353 nucleotides) under uncultured eukaryote. Its description in RNAcentral is "bacterial SSU rRNA". It matches the Rfam family "Eukaryotic small subunit ribosomal RNA", at positions 592 to 952 of the family's 1831-position model. The record is from RNAcentral.
CAAUAGCGUAUAUUAAAGUUGUUGCAGUUAAAAAGCUCGUAGUUGGAUUUCUGGGAGGGUGCCAAUGUCCGCCUUUGCGCGUGUGCAGCGGCGCCCUUCCAUCCUUCUGUUAACGUCUCUUGGCAUUCAUUUGCUGGUGGCGGGCUCAGAUAUUUUACCUUGAGAAAAUUAGAGUGUUUUCAGGCAGGCUAGGCCGGAAUACAUUAGCAUGGAAUAAUGGAAUAGGACUAUAGUCUCUUUGUUUGGUUUGAGGGACUGCAGUAAUGAUUAAUAGGGAUAGGUUGGGGGCAUUCGUAUUUAACUGUCAGAGGUGAAAUUCUUGGAUUUAGUUAAAGACGGACUACUGCGAAAGC